Molecule: ribosomal RNA, 253 nt
Filed under: uncultured bacterium
Lineage: Bacteria
Description: partial 16S ribosomal RNA
Rfam family: Bacterial small subunit ribosomal RNA
Source: RNAcentral
UACAGAGGUCCCGAGCGUUGUCCGGAAUCAUUGGGCGUAAAGCGCGUGUAGGCGGCUCGGUAAGUCCGCUCUGAAAGCCCGGGGCUCAACCCCGGGAGGCGGGUGGAUACUGUCGAGCUCGAGUCCGGAAGAGGCAAGUGGAAUUCCCGGUGUAGCGGUGAAAUGCGCAGAUAUCGGGAGGAACACCAAUGGCGAAGGCAGCUUGCUGGGACGGUACUGACGCUGAGACGCGAAAGCGUGGGGAGCAAACAGG